CAAGUUCCCGGAGGAGAUCACCCAGCUCGUAAUGCUAGAGCACUUUUUCAAUGGGCUCCCCAACGACAAGGCGACACCGCAUUCGUAUGUCAUCCAUAUCAACUUUCAAUGCCAUUUACUGCUCCUACCAUGGUGUCCACGGUUAACGGGGAAUCAGGGUUUGAUUCUGGAGAGGGAGCCUGAGAAAUGGCUACCACAUGCAAGGAAGGCAG
Molecule: ribosomal RNA, 212 nt
Filed under: Pelobates cultripes (western spadefoot toad)
Lineage: Eukaryota; Metazoa; Chordata; Amphibia; Anura; Pelobatidae
Description: SSU_rRNA_microsporidia
Rfam family: Eukaryotic small subunit ribosomal RNA
Source: RNAcentral